Molecule: ribosomal RNA, 113 nt
Filed under: Pteropus alecto (black flying fox)
Lineage: Eukaryota; Metazoa; Chordata; Mammalia; Chiroptera; Pteropodidae
Also listed under: 1 other name
Source: RNAcentral
AUCUGAUCAAAAAUAUAAGUAAUGCAUCUCAUCUGAUCUCAGAAGCUAAGCAGGAUCUUGCCUGGUUAGUACUUGGAUGGGAGACCACCUAAGAAGACCAGGUGCUAUAGGUG